GACGGAGGGGGCAAGCGUUGUCCGGACUUACUGGGCGUAAAGGGCCCGUAGGCGGCCUGGUGCGUCGGUGCUGAAAGCGCCCCGCUUAACGGGGUGAGGCGUGCCGAUACGACCAGGCUCGAGGCAGGCAGAGGGUGGCGGAAUUCCGGGUGUAGUGGUGAAAUGCGUAGAGAUCCGGAGGAACGCCUGUGGCGCAAGCGGCCACCUGGGCCUGACCUGACGCUGAGGGGCGAAAGCGUGGGGAGCGAACCGGAUUAGAAACCCCCGUAGUCC
Molecule: ribosomal RNA, 273 nt
Filed under: uncultured bacterium
Lineage: Bacteria
Description: partial 16S ribosomal RNA
Rfam family: Bacterial small subunit ribosomal RNA
Source: RNAcentral